UACGUAGGUGGCAAGCGUUAUCCGGAUUUAUUGGGCGUAAAGGGAACGCAGGCGGUCUUUUAAGUCUGAUGUGAAAGCCUUCGGCUUAACCGGAGUAGUGCAUUGGAAACUGGGAGACUUGAGUGCAGAAGAGGAGAGUGGAACUCCAUGUGUAGCGGUGAAAUGCGUAGAUAUAUGGAAGAACACCAGUGGCGAAAGCGGCUCUCUGGUCUGUAACUGACGCUGAGGUUCGAAAGCGUGGGCAGCAAACAGG
Molecule: ribosomal RNA, 253 nt
Filed under: uncultured bacterium
Lineage: Bacteria
Description: partial 16S ribosomal RNA
Rfam family: Bacterial small subunit ribosomal RNA
Source: RNAcentral